This 200-nucleotide ribosomal RNA is filed under the name Curvularia intermedia. RNAcentral's name for it is "partial large subunit ribosomal RNA". It matches the Rfam family "Eukaryotic large subunit ribosomal RNA", at positions 77 to 276 of the family's 3401-position model. The record is from RNAcentral. Lineage: Eukaryota; Fungi; Ascomycota; Dothideomycetes; Pleosporales; Pleosporaceae.
GCCCUAGUAACGGCGAGUGAAGCGGCACAGCUCAAUUUGAAAUCUGGCUCUUUCAGAGUCCGAGUUGUAAUUUGCAGAGGGCGCUUUGGCUUUGGCAGCGGUCCAAGUUCCUUGGAACAGGACGUCACAGAGGGUGAGAAUCCCGUACGUGGUCGCUAGCUAUUGCCGUGUAAAGCCCCUUCGACGAGUCGAGUUGUUUG